GCGACGGGCGAUAUGUACAUAUCAGUAUAAAUUUAUCAAAAAAACUAAUUAUUUUCUUUUUACUCCCUAAUCCAACCUUAUAAUCAUUAAUAUUUCAAUUAACUUUACAGUUUCAUACUUCUAUAUAAAAGUAACUCAUUUAACCCUACAAAAAUCUACAUUUUGACUUGAACUCAUUUAUAUUUAACAUUAACUUUUAUCUAUUAAUUUAUAAUAAAUAAUAAAUUAAACAGCAAUACAUAAAAAAAUUAAACAAUAGGUAAAAUUUAAUGUGUAAUAUCAUUUUAAAUAAACAAGUUCCUCAGAAUUUAACUAAAUACCGCCAAUAUCUUUAAAAUUAAUUUGAAAAACAAAUAAAAUUUUGAUAUUUAUUCUCACUAAAAAUAAUAGGGUAUCUAA
RNAcentral lists this ribosomal RNA (399 nucleotides) under Draculoides bramstokeri. RNAcentral's name for it is "partial 12S ribosomal RNA". The record is from RNAcentral. Lineage: Eukaryota; Metazoa; Arthropoda; Arachnida; Schizomida; Hubbardiidae.